RNAcentral lists this ribosomal RNA (465 nucleotides) under uncultured bacterium. RNAcentral describes it as "partial 16S ribosomal RNA". It matches the Rfam family "Bacterial small subunit ribosomal RNA", at positions 338 to 795 of the family's 1533-position model. The record is from RNAcentral.
CCUACGGGUGGCAGCAGUAGGGAAUAUUGCACAAUGAGCGAAAGCCUGAUGCAGCGACACCGCGUGCAGGAUGAAGGUCUUCGGAUCGUAAAGUGCUGUUAUCAGGGAAGAACAUUUGCUAUGGUAAUUAAUUGCAAAUUGACGGUACCUUCACAGGAAGCGCCGGCUAACUAUGUGCCAGCAGCCGCGGUAAUACAUAGGGUGCAAGCGUUAAUCGGAAUUAUUGGGCGUAAAGCGUUCGUAGGCUGUAUGUCAAGUCUAGGGGGAAAUCCCCGGGCUCAACCUCGGGACCGCUUUGGAAACUAGCAAACUAGAGUGAGAAAGAGGAAAGUGGAAUUCCAGGUGAAGGGGUGAAAUGCGUAGAUAUAUGGAAGAACACCAGAGGCGAAGGCGACUAUCUGGGACAAAACUGACGCUGAGGGGCGAAAGCGUGGGGAGCAAACAGGAUUAGAUACCCCUGUAGUC